RNAcentral lists this ribosomal RNA (457 nucleotides) under Herophydrus assimilis. RNAcentral describes it as "partial 16S ribosomal RNA". Lineage: Eukaryota; Metazoa; Arthropoda; Insecta; Coleoptera; Dytiscidae. The record is from RNAcentral.
AACAAAAACAUGUCCUUUAGAGUAGUAUUUAAGGUCUAACCUGCCCAUUGAUUUUAUAUUUAACGGCCGCAGUAAUUUGACUGUGCAAAGGUAGCAUAAUCAUUAGUUUUUUAAUUAGAAGCUAGAAUGAAUGGUUGGACGAGAUAAAAACUGUCUCUAUUUAAUUAAUAGAAUUUAAUUUUUAAGUUAAAAAGCUUAAAUAUUAAUAAAAGACGAGAAGACCCUAUAGAUCUUUAUAUAGUUUUUUUUAAUUUAAUUAAUGAUUAAUUAUUAAUUUAAAAAUUUUUAUAUUUUAUUGGGGUAAUAUAAAGAUUUAGAUAAUUCUUUAUUUAUAUAACAUAAAUUAAUGAUUAUAUGAUCCAUUUUUAUUGAUUAUAAGAUUAAGUUACCUUAGGGAUAACAGCGUAAUUUUUUUGGAGAGUUCUUAUCGAUAAAAAAGUUUGCGACCUCGAUGUUG